RNAcentral lists this ribosomal RNA (326 nucleotides) under uncultured Pseudomonas sp. Its description in RNAcentral is "bacterial SSU rRNA". It matches the Rfam family "Bacterial small subunit ribosomal RNA", at positions 384 to 711 of the family's 1533-position model. The record is from RNAcentral. Lineage: Bacteria; Pseudomonadati; Pseudomonadota; Gammaproteobacteria; Pseudomonadales; Pseudomonadaceae.
UGAUCACCAUGCCGCGUGUGUGAGAAGGUCUUCGGAUUGUAAAGCACUUUAAGUUGGGAGGAGGAGGGUUAAUACCUUGCUGUUUUGACGUUACCAACAGAAAACACCGGCUAACUUCGUGCCAGCAGCCGCGGUAAUACGAAGGGUGCAAGCGUUAAUCGGAAUUACUGGGCGUAAAGCGUCAAAAAAGAAGGUUCAGCAAGUUGGAUGUGAAAUCCCCGGGCUCAACCUGGGAACUGCAUCCAAAACUACUGAGCUAGAGUACGUAGAGGGUGGUGGAAUUUCCUGUGUAGCGGUGAAAUGCGUAGAUAUAGGAAGGAACACCA